GGUGGAAGUACUUGCAAGUUGUCCUUUCUCUAACAGACACCUGUUUCAGUAUGCCCAAAGGCUUCCAUGUCUUAUUAUGCUUUAGUACUACUGGUUGCAACUGGUAUCCUCAUUUUGUUAUUUGGGAAUAGGGGUUGCUUCCUCGCCUAGCUUGCUUUCCAUUGCUAAUUAUAUUCCUCUCUUUGUGUCCUAAAAAGAAAAGAAGGUG
Pelobates cultripes (western spadefoot toad) is the source of this 208-nucleotide non-coding RNA. NCBI's taxonomy places the organism in Eukaryota, Metazoa, Chordata, Amphibia, Anura, Pelobatidae. The record is from the annotation of a GenBank genome assembly.